Molecule: long non-coding RNA, 1295 nt
Filed under: Piliocolobus tephrosceles (Ugandan red Colobus)
Lineage: Eukaryota; Metazoa; Chordata; Mammalia; Primates; Cercopithecidae
Description: lncRNA (ENSPTEG00000001433.1)
Source: RNAcentral
GACAUAUGGAGGCACUACAUAAUAGAGAAGUCUUAGAAUGUUCUAAUUUAUCAAGGGAUAUAAUUUUUCAAAAUAUAAAAUUUGUAGAUUGUAAAGCUAGUGAACAAGGUAUUGAAAAAUGUAAGGAGUUAAAAAAUGAUAAGAAUAAUAAAUAUCACCAACGAAUUAUGCGACUUUAUAAUGAGUCUGUGAGCAGGUCCAGUGAAAAUGAAGAUGGUAUGCAUGUGAAGACGUUUAAAAAAAGUGAUAAUCAGGACAACAAUAUUAAGGAUAGUUAUGAAAAACGCAGUGGUACCAAAGGUAGUGGUAAAAAGGACGAGAGAAACGAAAAAAAAAAUAAUUUCAUAAUUAUCAGUUCCCCACUUCGAAGGUGUUUAGAAACCAUGAAAUACUAUUUUAAUUUUAAAAAAAACAUAAUAUUAUAUGAAGCUGUACGUGAAGUUGCAGGCGAUUAUUGUAGUGAUGAACGGUCAAAUACGUCAAAUAUACAUGAAUUCUGUCAAAAAAAUUUUAAAGAUUAUGAAAUUAUUUGUUUUGGAAAAGAUGAUAUUUAUUAUAAGAAUAAAUUAAGAGAGUCAGCAAAUCAAGUUUAUUGUAGAUGUUUACAAUUUUUGAAAUUUGCUCAUUCGUUAGCUUUGGAUUAUUUUGCUAGCAUUGAAAAAGAAGAAGAAUCAAAAGGGGAAAUUAUUUCUAACCAUAACAAUGAUCAUAAUAGUGAAGAUAACAAAAAAGGAUCUGAUUCAUUUGAAGAAAAUGACAAAAAUCAUUAUAACAUUUUAGAUAAUUACGAAUAUUUAUAUGAUAAUGAAAAAGAAGAAUCCAACACUUCCAAUAAAAAUAAUUUUGUGAAAAAUAAUCUUGUCAAGAAUAAUCUUGUGAAGAAUAGGUUACAUAAGAAAUCCUCAAAAUAUGUUUAUAAUAUUGUUUUGGUUUCACAUAGCUCAUUUAUAAUUUAUUUAUUAGCAUUAUUAGAUUAUUUAAAUUUAGAUGUUCGUAGUUUUAAUAACUGUAAUAUAUGUAAAAUAACAAUACCCUUAACAAGUACCUAUUUAUUUUUCAACAAUAUAAUUAACCUGCAACUAGUUAAACCAGUAGUAGAUAAUAUUAUGCCUCUUACAUUUAAAGAUACAAAAAUAAAAUUAAAAAAAACAUACAAAGAAAAAAACAUAUAUACAGUUAGUAAUUACAAAGAUAUAGAUAAAUUAACAUGUAUAUAUCCCUGUACAAUUGUCAUAUAUCAAUAUAAUGAAUUAAUAAAACAUGAAAAAAAUUAUAAAUAUUUACAAAAGGUAAAA